Pteropus vampyrus (large flying fox) is the source of this 119-nucleotide ribosomal RNA. The record is from Ensembl. NCBI's taxonomy places the organism in Eukaryota, Metazoa, Chordata, Mammalia, Chiroptera, Pteropodidae.
GUCUAUGGCCAUGUUAGCCUGAACAUGCUCGAUCUUGUCUGAUUUCCGAAGCUAAGCAGAGUCAGGCCUGGUUAGUACUUGGAUGGGAGACCAUCUAGGAAUAUCAGGUGCUGUAGGUG